This 484-nucleotide ribosomal RNA is filed under the name uncultured bacterium. RNAcentral describes it as "partial 16S ribosomal RNA". It matches the Rfam family "Bacterial small subunit ribosomal RNA", at positions 30 to 507 of the family's 1533-position model. The record is from RNAcentral.
AUUGAACGCUGGCGGCAGGCCUAACACAUGCAAGUCGAGCGGAUGAAGGGAGCUUGCUCCUGGAUUCAGCGGCGGACGGGUGAGUAAUGCCUGGGAAUCUGCCUGGUAGUGGGGGAUAACGUCCGGAAACGGGCGCUAAUACCGCAUACGUCCUGAGGGAGAAAGUGGGGGAUCUUCGGACCUCACGCUAUCAGAUGAGCCUAGGUCGGAUUAGCUAGUUGGUGGGGUAAAGGCCUACCAAGGCGACGAUCCGUAACUGGUCUGAGAGGAUGAUCAGUCACACUGGAACUGAGACACGGUCCAGACGACUACGGGAGGGAGCAGUGGGGAAUAUUGGACAAUGGGCGAAAGCCUGAUCCAGCCAUGCCGCGUGUGUGAAGAAGGUCUUCGGAUUGUAAAGCACUUUAAGUUGGGAGGAAGGGCAGUAAGUUAAUACCUUGCUGUUUUGACGUUACCAACAGAAUAAGCACCGGCUAACUUCGUG